GACGAACGCUGGCGGCGUGCUUAACACAUGCAAGUCGAACGGAAAGGCCCUGCUUGUUUGGGGUGCGCGAGUGGCGAACGGGUGAGUAACACGUGAGUAACCUGCCCUGGACGUUGGGAUAACUUCAGGAAACUUGGGCUAAUACCGGAUAUGAGCUCCUGCGGCAUGGUGGUGGGGGGAAAGUGUCGGCGGUUGGGGAUGGACUCGCGGCUUAUAAGCUUGUUGGUGGGGUAGUGGCUUACCAAGGCUUGGACGGGUAGCCGGCCUGUGAGGGUGACCGGGGACAUUGGGACUGCGAUACGCACCAGAGGGGUACGGGAGGCAGCAGUGGGGAAUCUUGCCCAAUGGGCGGAAGCGUGAUGCAGAAACGCCGGGUGCGGGAUGACGGUCUUCGCGUUGUAAACAGCCUUCGCCUGUGACGAAGCGUGCGUGACGGUAAUGGGUAAAGAAGCACCGGCUAACUACGUG
RNAcentral lists this ribosomal RNA (468 nucleotides) under uncultured bacterium. RNAcentral describes it as "partial 16S ribosomal RNA". It matches the Rfam family "Bacterial small subunit ribosomal RNA", at positions 28 to 507 of the family's 1533-position model. The record is from RNAcentral.